Molecule: long non-coding RNA, 4081 nt
Filed under: Homo sapiens (human)
Lineage: Eukaryota; Metazoa; Chordata; Mammalia; Primates; Hominidae
Description: HSALNT0105208
Rfam family: Metazoan signal recognition particle RNA (bases 1702-1818)
Source: RNAcentral
UUGGUUCUUGUUUUAGCUUUUGAUGACAGGAAAUAUGUAAAGUAGCUUAACCUUACCUGUGAUUCAAACAACUUUAAUAAAUUUACUGUAGUAAAAGUUUCACAAUAAGCACCUUUUUACCUUGUAAUUUUAGAUUAAAUUCAUCAAGGCCAGGGGCAGCAGCUCACUCCUGUAAUCCUAGGAUUUUGGGAGGCCAAGGCAGGCAGAUUGUCUGAGCUCAGGAGUUUGAGACCAGCCUGGGUAACACAGUGAAACCCCUUCUCUACUAAAGUGCAAAAAUUUAGCCAGGAGUGGUUGUGCAUGCCUGUUGUCCCAGCUACUUGGGAGGCUGAGGCAUGAGAAUUUCAUGAACCUGGGAGGUGGAGGUUGUAGUGAGCUGAGAUUGCACCACUGUACUCCAGCGUGGGCAACAGAGAGAGACACCGUCUGCCAAAAAAAAAAAAAAAAGAUCCAUGCAGCAACAUGGAUGGAUUUGGAGGCUAUUAUCCUAAGCAAGCUAAUGCAGGAACAGAAAACCAAAUACCACAUGUUCUCACUUGUAAGUGGGAGCUAAACAAUGAGAACACAUAUACCAAGAGGGGAACAACAGACACUGAGGCCUACUUGAAUGUGGAGGGUGGGAGGAAGGAGAGGAUCAGAAAAAAUACCUAGCAGGUACUACGCUUAUUGCCUGGGUUGCUGUUAAGUGCCAUUGAUAUGCUGAAUGAAGAAAAUGACAGAUUGAAGCUAACCAGCCACAAACUCAGGAAAGAUGUGACAGCCAGAAUGCCACUACGACAGGAUUUUUUUUUUUAGAUGGGCUCUCACUAUGUUGUCCAGGCUGGUGUUUAAUUCCUGGGCUCAAGUGAUCCUCCUGCCUCAGCCUCUGAAGCAGCUGGGACUACAGGUAUGAGUCACUGCACCUGGCCCUAUCAAAGCACUGUUAAAGACUGGACUAUGUAAGCAUUUCUCCUUUGCAAGGAGCGUGAUGUUGAGCUUUUUCAGUAGAGGGCACAGGAGGGAUACUGUAGAAGGAAGGGAGCUUCUCUUCCUAGUUCCAGUGUGCUGCAUUUUGCUUUUAUUGCUCCUCUUCCAUUGUCUAACAGCAAUGAGUGUAUGCCGAUGGUGGGGACUAUCUACGAGUGCUCUGUUCAAGCUGUGUGCACCAAGAAUGGGAAUGCAGCCCCUCAGCUGCACACUAUAAAUAAGCUACCAUGAGGCCCCAGUGUGGGCCCAGAGACCACCUUGCUGCUGCCAAUGCAGAUUUAGCACACUCCAGACCGCACAGCCGUAGUGGUGCCCUCACUGUCUCUGCAUGCCUGUCCACUGGCCUCAGCUCACCUCGCAACCCUCCUGAUGUGGACACCACGUGCUCCAAGCAGCCAAGCUCUCCAUGCAGGCCUGUCCAUCAGCCUCAUUCCCCUGGCACCCUGGGGGUUGUUUCCUGCUUGCCUGCUGAUUGCUGACUAGCUCUGGCCUGGGCAUGUGGCAGACCUUUCCGCCAUCCAGUGGACUGCAGCCGCAGCUUCUCCAAUAAGGUCUCAACCAGGGCCUUGGUAGUAUUCUCCCUCCACUCCACAAUACCCUUUAGAGCUUUUUUCACAUCUUUAUAGUUACCAUCCUGUCAUCAUUUAGUAAUUCUUUAUAUUAAGCCACUCUGUUUAAGUUACUGGAUGGUUUCUGUCUACUAAUUGGACACAGACUGAUAAAAAAUCGGUCCUGGCCGGGUGCGGUGGCUCACACCUGUAAUCCCAGCACUUUGGGAGGCCGAGGUGGGUGGAUCACUGGAGGUCAGGAGUUCGACACUAGCCUGACCAACAUGGCGAAACCCCAUCUCUACUAAAAAUAUAAAAAUUAGCAGGGCGUGGUGGCACACACCUGUAAUCCCAGCUACUUGGGAGGCUGAGGCAGGAGAAUCACUGGAACCUGGGAGGCGGAGGUUGCAGUGAGCCCAGAUCGUGCCAUUGCACUCUAGGCUGGGUGACAAAAAGCAAAAACUUCAUAAAAAAAAAAAAAAUUCAGUCCCAGGAGUGGUCCCAGGAAUAGACUGAUAAACGUGAGAUGUGGGCAUUGGUUUGUUUGUGUCCUUGGGCUUGAGCACAGUACUAACCUCCUUGUCCAUGAGAAAUGGGCGUGCAAUGGCGUCACAACUAGUCAAGCCAUCAUCUGUGGUUGAUUUUUAUAGAGUGCCAACGGAAGGAAGCACAUGCCUCAGGAGCCCAUAUGGCUGCUACCCUGCACCAUUAUGACAGUAAUAAUGACUAUAAGCUCUAAGGUGUGGGACAGUUCUUUCCAGCGUACUUGGGAGCUCAUAAGAGAAAAAAUGACAAGCUCCUGUCUGUUACCUUUCAGUUCAAGUCUUGAAGUGAGAACCAGAAAGCUUCCAUGAUGACCCUAAAAAGAACCUUGCCGGGAACGUGACUCAUGCCUAUAAUCCCAGCAACUCGGGAGGCUGAGGCAGGAGCAUUGCUUGAGGCCAGGAGUUUAAGACCAGCUUGGGCAGCAUAGCGAGAUCUUGUCUCUAAAAAAAAUUAUUUUUAGGAAUCUUUCUUGUAGAUCCAGGGCUGAUAUUGCUGAAGACCAAAAAUAAAAUUUAAUUGUGCAGGUUGCUGAAUAAUAAUGACAUUUCAGUUCACAGUCUUGCCAAGUUUUUAAUGUGAAAGUUAGGGCACUGAUAAGGAAAGAAUGGGAUCCUGAACCUUGUAAUCAAGACAUCUCAAAUGAACUGAGACAACUCAAAUGAAUUGAGACAUCCAAAUGAAGCCCAUAGUCUUGAGAUCCAAGAUUAUCAGGGGGUCGUUCUGAGUCCCCUGACCAGCAGAAGUAGGUUGCCCUCUGGUGUCUGAGGACGUUACCUUUGUUCUGCUUGAAAUCCUUGUGACAACCUUGCUUGAGGCAGACGCCUUGAAUAGGGAUGCUCAUUCUCCACUAGACCCACCAUAGCCAUACCCUGUGGCCACCAGACCCACAAAGUCUUAGCAUGCUCCAGAGGGACAGGAGGACUUAAGACCCAGGAGGAGACAGCUUAGGCACGAAAAGGAUUGCAGGGCCUUGCUAACAUAUAUUAGUAGUAAUCUGGUGACUAUACAUAGGAAUGGAUUCUGAGGUUGGUAGAUCAGAGGGCAAAAUAUAACACAAUAUCAGGCCAAAUCCUUUUACGUGAGUGUGCUUACUAGAAUUCUGAAUGUAAAGUAUUAGCUUGUGUAGAUAAAGGUGAAUCUAACUGCUUAUUUUGUUGAUUGACUGAAACUUGAACUCAAAAUUCAAGUUUCAUGAGGUCUAAUUUAAUGAGGUUAAGACGCCAGAGCUUUGCUGGUGUGUCGUGAAAGAAGAAAUCCAAGAGCACCGGGAGAUGGCAAUGUUGGAGUGGAUUGAUCAUGUGUGACUUAUUCCCUAACUAUAUUCUAUGUGAAGACCCAAGAAGAUACUCCCUUUACCAAGGCAUUAAAAAAUACAUUUGUCAGGGGAGCACCUGUGUCUUUGACAAGUUCUGUGGUUAUUCCCUUUGUUAGGCCAGGCUGUAGGUGGUUCCAACUUUAAGAUGGGCCCCCUAAUUUCAGUGGGGAUGACGGUAUUGCAUUGUAGCAGAGGCCAAGUUGAAGCACUUAACCAACAAAGACAAGGUGGGCACAUCAACCAUAAAGGGCAUCAGAAAUGUUUCAGCAAUCAAAACACUUUGGCCUACAGAGAUCUUAACUGAUCUAUAUAAUAGGAAAACUCUAUGUCCAGCAGCCAAAUACCUGAUUUGAGUCAGGCAUUGAUUUGAGUCAUAACAAUGGUGAAUGGUGGCCUCUCACUCAGUUUCCAGGCUUAAGUUGGUUCACUGAUUCAGAGUGAAGUUGGUUCACUGAUUCAGAACCUUUGCUUGAAUAGGAGGCUAGGUUCCCUUGAAGAUCUUGCAGGACCUCGUAACACUGCUAUAAGAAAACACCUGAAGCCAGGCGCAGUGGCUCAUGCCUAUAAUCCCAGCACUUUGUGAGGCCAAGGCAGGUGGAUCACGAUUUCAGGAGAUCGAGACCAUCCUGGCCAACAUGGUGAAACCCCGUCUCUACUAAAAUACAAAAAUUAGCUGGGUGUGGUGGCAUGCACCUGUAAUCCCAGC